AUGACCAAGACAAACCAUCCAAAGCUACCCAAAAUACACGGCAACAGCGCUAACCAGCAACACAACCAAGUAACUCCACAGCAACGGCUAAAACCAAAAGCUAACCUCGGCCUUCAGCUAGUUGAUAACCUGAAGGAUCAGAGUGUGCUUCUUUUCCGGUCUUGCAUAACAUCAGUUAUCUGUAUGAUGUGUUCUACAGGAGGUAGCAUAGUUCUACUGGUGUCUAGUGCCAGGACGGGGUUUCCUUCUUUGAUGUGCUCUCAAACUGUUUUUAGUCCUGCAAGGAUACCAGAAGUAACGUACUAA
RNAcentral lists this ribosomal RNA (306 nucleotides) under Triticum aestivum (bread wheat). RNAcentral describes it as "partial small subunit ribosomal RNA". Lineage: Eukaryota; Viridiplantae; Streptophyta; Magnoliopsida; Poales; Poaceae. The record is from RNAcentral.